This is a long non-coding RNA of Mercenaria mercenaria, 292 nucleotides long. RefSeq lists it as uncharacterized. NCBI's taxonomy places the organism in Eukaryota, Metazoa, Mollusca, Bivalvia, Venerida, Veneridae. The transcript is spliced from 2 exons. The record is from RefSeq and is a predicted model, not a curated record.
AAAAAUGUGAAAGUAGGUCACUAGGUCAAUGUAAAGGUCAAAGUUUGUUUCGGUACACAAAACUAUGCAUGUGUCCAAAUUUGAAGGCUGUAGCUUGAGAAAUGUGAAAGUAGGUCACUAGGUCAAAAUCAAGGUCAACUCAUGUCAAGGUUCAUCUUGCCACUCAAAACCAUACAUGUGGUCCAAAUUUGAAUGUUGUAGGUUAUUGACAAGAAGAUUUUAAAAGCUUUUCCCUAUAUAAGUCUAUAUGAACCAUGUGACCCCCAGGGUGGGGCCAUAUUUGACCCUAGGG